CCUACGGGUGGCAGCAGUCGAGAAUCAUUCACAAUGGGGGAAACCCUGAUGGUGCGACGCCGCGUGGGGGAAUGAAGGUCUUCGGAUUGUAAACCCCUGUCAUGUGGGAGCAAAUUAAAAAGAUAGUACCACAAGAGGAAGAGACGGCUAAAUCUGUGCCAGCAGCCGCGGUAAUACAGAGGUCUCAAGCGUUGUUCGGAAUCACUGGGCGUAAGGCGUGCGUAGGCUGUUUCGUAAGUCGUGUGUGAAAGGCGCGGGCUCAACCCGCGGACGGCACAUGAUACUGCGAGACUAGAGUAAUGGAGGGGGAACCGGAAUUCUCGGUGUAGCAGUGAAAUGCGUAGAUAUCGAGAGGAACACUCGUGGCGAAGGCGGGUUCCUGGACAUUAACUGACGCUGAGGCACGAAGGCCAGGGGAGCGAAAGGGAUUAGAUACCCGGGUAGUC
RNAcentral lists this ribosomal RNA (446 nucleotides) under uncultured bacterium. RNAcentral describes it as "partial 16S ribosomal RNA". It matches the Rfam family "Bacterial small subunit ribosomal RNA", at positions 338 to 795 of the family's 1533-position model. The record is from RNAcentral.